CCGAGCUCUUGGCCUCUUGUCUUUGACACUUUACUUUUCUUUAUGGUCGCUCAGCAAGUCAAUCCCCCAGGGUCUCUUUCCUAAUAACAUCUCACGUGUUUGUCUAUAGUGCUUUAAGUAUUACAAGGCAUUUCGUCAGGAGAACCCAUCUAAGAAUGUAAGCUUUCUUCUUUUCCGGCAAGUGCUGCAAAUUGAGCCAAACUACAGAGAAACUUAAAAGAGCAGAUGGCAAGAAUCAGGGCAGAAGAAGGACUCCUGAAGCCACUGAAGGAAGGAAAUCAUUACAGGGUUCUACAGAAGUAGGUCAUGUGCUACAGCUGCUC
Molecule: long non-coding RNA, 323 nt
Filed under: Vombatus ursinus (common wombat)
Lineage: Eukaryota; Metazoa; Chordata; Mammalia; Diprotodontia; Vombatidae
Description: lncRNA (ENSVURG00010007608.1)
Source: RNAcentral